UUAAGUUCAGCGGGUAGUCCUACUUGAUUUGAGGUCAGAUGUUCAGAGAUUGUCCCAAGGGACGGUUAGAAGCUUGAACAUUAAAUUCACCGAGAUGAAGCAACGUAGACAAUUAUCACGCUGAAUCAUGCUUGGUUCUAUUCAAGCUAAUGCAUUUCAGAGGAGCUGACUUCCGAAUUAAAAAUUCGGACGCCUGCAAG
This 200-nucleotide unclassified non-coding RNA is filed under the name Steccherinum sp. RNAcentral describes it as "partial internal transcribed spacer 2". Lineage: Eukaryota; Fungi; Basidiomycota; Agaricomycetes; Polyporales; Steccherinaceae. The record is from RNAcentral.